GAAAGGUCAGAAGCUCAAUGGCGCC
Molecule: non-coding RNA, 25 nt
Filed under: Rattus norvegicus (Norway rat)
Lineage: Eukaryota; Metazoa; Chordata; Mammalia; Rodentia; Muridae
Source: RNAcentral